GGGCCAGCAGUCGACUGAAGCUGCAGACUAUUGUGAUUGCUGCUUAUUUGACAAGCUUUGCAGAGGAAAGGUAAAACUAAAGGAUCCAUCCUCAUGGCAGCCACAGAGCUCCUGUAGAGAGCAAUACCCCAUUCUAAGAUUCUCAUUCAAGGCAGAUGUACAAAUAAUGGUGUAACACUCGAAGAUGGAAUUUAUCUUUGGAACAGCAAUGGCCUUAACCCUGAUGAGCACAUCAUGGAGUAGUUCAGUAAUGGUGAAUAGUUCAACGACACAGACAUUACAAGGUUUAUUUCUUGCACAGAAUAUAAAUCCAGAUAUUUACGAAUUUCAAGAGUCCGGCUAGCCACAUCAGUCACCAAGGAAAGCUUUUAAAGUCGAUGGGGAAAGGGUAGAGAAUAGAACUGAUAUAAAAAUGAAAAAUGGUGGAAACACCGAGCCGGUCAGGCAGCAUGUGAAAAAAAUGAUACACCAGCUCCAGUUACAAUUACAACAAAGUGUAUGAACAUUCAAAGAAAAGAUAACCUGCAGUGGAACAGAGAAAGCAGCAAUUUGGAGAAUAGAGUGAAGCAGUCUAUAAAUUUACUGAGAUUGACUUCUUUAGAUCUGUUUCAGAGCCACCAGCUGGCACGAACACGGGGAAUGAAAACUCACAUUAUUUUGUAUUAAUGUGAUUUUUGACUGCAGCCCGAUUUUGAUUGGUGUUUUCGGGCCUUCGUUUCCGCUUCCCAAAAUGUCUGUGCCAAUCAUAAUG
Molecule: long non-coding RNA, 751 nt
Organism: Amblyraja radiata (thorny skate)
Lineage: Eukaryota; Metazoa; Chordata; Chondrichthyes; Rajiformes; Rajidae
Exons: 5
Source: RefSeq, a predicted model, not a curated record